CCUACGGGCGGCUGCAGUAGGGAAUAUUGCUCAAUGGGGGAAACCCUGAAGCAGCCACGCCGCGUGGAGGAUGAAGGUUCUCUGAUUGUUAACCCUCUUUGUUAGAGAAGCAAAGGACGGUAUCUAACGAAUAAGCACCGGGCAAUUCCGUGCCAGCAGCCGCGGUAAAAUGGGGGGGGCAAGCGUUAUUCGGAAUCACUGGGCGUAAACGGUGGCUAGGGGGGAUAGCAAGUCCAGUGGUAAAUUCUAUGGGUUAAACAUAAUACAGCAAUUGAAACUGUUGUUCUAGAGUAUGGGAGAGGUAGGUGGAAUGCGUGGUGUAGGGGUAAAAUGCGUAGAGAUCAAGAAGAAUACUGAUUGCGAAGGCAGCCUACUAGAGCAUGACUGACGCUGAUGCACGAAAGCGUGGGGAGCGAACAGGAUUAGAUACCCCUGUAGUC
RNAcentral lists this ribosomal RNA (440 nucleotides) under uncultured bacterium. Its description in RNAcentral is "partial 16S ribosomal RNA". It matches the Rfam family "Bacterial small subunit ribosomal RNA", at positions 338 to 795 of the family's 1533-position model. The record is from RNAcentral.